GGACUACACGGGUAUCUAAUCCUGUUUGCUCCCCACGCUUUCGCUCCUCAGCGUCAGUGCCGGCCCAGAGAACCGCCUUCGCUACUGGUGUUCCUCCCGAUAUCUGCGCAUUUCACCGCUACACCGGGAAUUCCAUUCUCCUCUACCGGACUCGAGUCACAGCAGUAUCGACUGCAAUUCCGAGGUUGAGCCUCGGACUUUCACAGCCGACUUGCUGAACCGCCUACGAGCUCUUUACGCCCAAUGAUUCCGGAUAACGCUCGGACCCUACGUAUUACCGCGGCGGCUGGCAC
Molecule: unclassified non-coding RNA, 293 nt
Filed under: uncultured Acidimicrobiia bacterium
Lineage: Bacteria; Bacillati; Actinomycetota; Acidimicrobiia
Description: contains 16S-23S intergenic spacer region
Source: RNAcentral